Molecule: unclassified non-coding RNA, 453 nt
Filed under: Hevea brasiliensis (rubber tree)
Lineage: Eukaryota; Viridiplantae; Streptophyta; Magnoliopsida; Malpighiales; Euphorbiaceae
Source: RNAcentral
GCAAGAAAGAGAAGGGAAAAAAGAGAUAAAUAAGGUGGAAGGGUGAGUGAUACUGUAUAUAGGGGUAAAAUGGUCCAUUUCAAUUUUCCAACAGGUAAAUGUGAUUAGAUGCACUUAAUUAAAACAAAUUUUAAAAAAAUUUCUCUGUUUAGAAACUUGAUUGAUAGGGAAAAAAAAGUUUAGACGCUCAAAUUUUGGAAAGUUCAGAUGCCAUUGAUAUAUUUAUCCCUUAAUUUUUAAAUAGGGUCAAAAUAUGAAUUUCUCUGAAUAUUUAUAUAUAAUUUAUACAAGGUAAAUCCGCCCCUGCUUAGCAUUCUCUUGUUUGUAUUUAAUCUUAAAGACUAGUAAACUAUCAUAAUUUUGAGAUAUAAACACUAUUUAAUCCCAAGGAUACAUUGGGAAAGCCUUCAUUAAGCCUUUCUAAUGGAUUGAAGAUACUUGACUAUCACUAUU